CGGACGAAAGCUCAGCGGUCGAGCAGCGGCGAAAGCCGUUGGCGCCGGUUCGAAUCCGGUUCGUCCAC
This 68-nucleotide transfer RNA is filed under the name Pseudoxanthomonas wuyuanensis. Its description in RNAcentral is "Pseudoxanthomonas sp. XC21-2 tRNA". It matches the Rfam family "tRNA". Rfam says of the family: Transfer RNA (tRNA) molecules are approximately 80 nucleotides in length. Their secondary structure includes four short double-helical elements and three loops (D, anti-codon, and T loops). The record is from Rfam by way of RNAcentral. Lineage: Bacteria; Pseudomonadati; Pseudomonadota; Gammaproteobacteria; Lysobacterales; Lysobacteraceae.